ACCCAUUCAUCUGCCUUGGCAUGUCAACUUAACACCGCUCCUUUCGCAUUUUAUCCAAUCUCAAUCCGCAGGCAGGCUGUCCCAUUCCCAUACACGUGUAUAUAGUAGCGCCCAGCCCAGCAGAGCACCAUGGACCUCGACAUUGCUUCUCUGCCACGCACGCUUCUCCCUCUGGAGGCCCCCUUCGAUUCAUUGAAAGCAACAAUAAUAAAGUAACCAACAGGUUGUCGGAAAACGCUCGAGCCAUCUCUCCCUCCCUCCAAUCUUCACUUGGAUUUGAGAGUAAUUUCCAGCGAUCUUCUCCAGAACGAAGCGUUUCUAGCGCCUAACUCUCCUCUGGUUAUGAAUUAGGGCUAGGGUUUUUGUUGAUCAAGUUCUGUAAUGCUCUUCUCUGUAACCGGAGGUUUCCAUCAAAAUGCUUCCGCCCACGUCCCUGCGAACCUCCGCUUAUCUCUCCGCCCUGACUCAGGAAAUAGAAAAGAAGCUCCAACGAGCGAUUGCGUCGCCGUCGCAGAGACGCGAUUUGUUGCAAGAGCUGUUCGCGGACAUAGCUCUGGAGGUUGAUGAUCGGGCUAGAGAUAUAAUACUAAGCAGAGAAGAUCAAAUUUCCCCCUCUGAGGAUGGAAUUGAGGGUUCGCUUUGCUUUUAUGAUGUUCUUGCUGAUUAUUUUGUAUGGAAGCCUGAGGAUGGAAAUCCAAUUCUUGAUUUGAUAGUCCAAUUAUGGAGCCAAUCAUUUGCAUCUCAUAUUUUCUCCCUUCUGUUCCACAAAUGGUUGUUUGAAGUUCAACUUGAUAAUUCUGAAGUCCUCCUGCGUUACUCAUCGGCUCUUGUUCAAGGUGCUACAAAUGUCUUCUGGAUUGACAUCCAAACGAACGCAAGACGUUUUCAAUCUCUCUUCAGGUAUCUUCUGGAGGAGGUUGCAUUGGUGCCUGAGAGAUUAAAGAAAAUUCCCUUGCAGGCCCAACAAGAUCUAUUUCUUCUCCUGUCAAGGUUCAUAUUUUUUUACAACUUAGCUGACAAGCUUGGAAGCUUCUUCAAACAAUUUCCAGAAUUUCCAACUCUUUUUAUUGGUGGUCCAACGGAUGUUUUUGUUAUUGAGCUUGCUGAUCAGCUGCAGAAAUUGAAGGUGGAGCCAGUACUGUUGCAUUACCUUUCUCAGAUUAAAGCUCUCCAAGGGAUGGAGCUGAGAAUGACAACUAGUACAAGACUGAAAGCAUGCUUGUAUAGCUUCACUUCUCCUGGUGGUCCAAUGUAUCCAACAAGAGCUGUUCGUCAUGCAGCCUGGGAUGCUUUAGAUUUCCUUUUCCCGGUAGGGCAAUACCCUCGGCAUCUUAUAAGCUUGUUUUUCCGGUUGCUAUACCCGUGGUAUUGGCCAUCCUCUUGUUGGAACUUCAUAAUGUCGUGCGUAAAGGCGAUACUGUACUAUAUUUUCAGUUUGAUAUGUUCUGCUUGGGAAAAGUUGGUAAAGGCGAAGAAGUCCUGAUUGUGCAUUCAAGAAUUUGGCAGUGCUCCUAAUGUAAAUUUUGAACUGAAUAUAACUGGACCUUUGGUGGAUUCUAGGCAAGGCUUUCUUACUGUUGUAAUACACAUGAGAGGCAUGGUAAUCGAUUUUGUCUACACCGCUCUUUCUACUUUCAUUUUUGUUGGGAUAUCCUUGGUUGGGGUCUUCCUAGGAAAUGACGAAGGGGAAGCCGUGUUUGAUCAAUAUAUGUACAACUGGACAUAUGGGGGAUGAAAAGUUGAAAAAAUAUAAUACUAUAUUUCUUUUUCUUUUCUUUUUUUUUUUUGUUUGGGAGAAUAAUUAUGAAAAUAGAUAAAAUAAAAAAUAUUAAAUAACAAAAGACGGUUCAUAAUAGA
RNA transcript from Diospyros lotus (date-plum), 1857 nucleotides. RefSeq lists it as uncharacterized. The record is from RefSeq and is a predicted model, not a curated record. The transcript is spliced from 12 exons. NCBI's taxonomy places the organism in Eukaryota, Viridiplantae, Streptophyta, Magnoliopsida, Ericales, Ebenaceae.